GGAGAUGUACCCAAGAGGCUGAAGGGACCGCACUCGAAAUGCGGCAGGCCGGACAACCGGUGCGAGGGUUCAAAUCCCUCCAUCUCCG
This 88-nucleotide transfer RNA is filed under the name Blautia wexlerae. Its description in RNAcentral is "tRNA-Ser". It matches the Rfam family "tRNA". Rfam says of the family: Transfer RNA (tRNA) molecules are approximately 80 nucleotides in length. The record is from RNAcentral. Lineage: Bacteria; Bacillati; Bacillota; Clostridia; Lachnospirales; Lachnospiraceae.